This 87-nucleotide transfer RNA is filed under the name Betaproteobacteria bacterium. RNAcentral describes it as "tRNA-Leu". It matches the Rfam family "tRNA". Rfam says of the family: Transfer RNA (tRNA) molecules are approximately 80 nucleotides in length. Their secondary structure includes four short double-helical elements and three loops (D, anti-codon, and T loops). Lineage: Bacteria; Pseudomonadati; Pseudomonadota; Betaproteobacteria. The record is from RNAcentral.
GCCGGCGUGGCGAAAUUGGUAGACGCAGUAGACUCAAAAUCUACCGCUCGCAAGGGCAUGUCAGUUCGAUUCUGACCGCCGGCACCA